GCGGAUGUAGCCAAGUGGAUUAAGGCAGUGGAUUGUGAAUC
Molecule: transfer RNA, 41 nt
Filed under: Mutarda arvensis
Lineage: Eukaryota; Viridiplantae; Streptophyta; Magnoliopsida; Brassicales; Brassicaceae
Description: partial tRNA-His
Source: RNAcentral